RNAcentral lists this ribosomal RNA (254 nucleotides) under uncultured bacterium. RNAcentral's name for it is "partial 16S ribosomal RNA". It matches the Rfam family "Bacterial small subunit ribosomal RNA", at positions 524 to 776 of the family's 1533-position model. The record is from RNAcentral.
GACGAACCGUGCGAACGUUAUUCGGAAUCAUUGGGCUUAAAGGGCGCGUAGGCGGGCGACCGCGUCGAGUGCUGAAAGCCCCCGGCUCAACCGGGGAACGGGCCUCGAUACGGGUCGCCUCGAGGCGAGGAGGGGGACCUGGAACUUCCGGUGGAGCGGUGAAAUGCGUUGAGAUCGGAAGGAACGCCGACGGCGAAAGCAAGGUCCUGGACUCGUCCUGACGCUGAGGCGCGAAAGCCAGGGGAGCGAACGGG